UUGGGUUGAAUUUUGGUGGAAUUUUGGGUUGAUUUUGGGUUGAUUUCGACUGAAUUGGCUCAAUUUUGGGUUGAAUUUUGGUGGAAUUUUGGAAUUUUGGGUUGAUUUUGGCUCGAUUUUGGGUUGAAUUUUGGUGGAAUUUUGGGUUGAUUUCGACUGAAUUGGCUCGAUUUUGGGCUGGGAAUUUCGACUGAAUUGGCUCGAUUUUGGGUUGAAUUUCAUUAUCGGGUAAUUUAGGGUACCCGAAUACCCGACUCGGGUACCCGAGUCGGGUAUUAGGGUACCCGAUUUCAAUUUCGGGUUCGGGUUCGGGUAGCAAAUUUAGGGUAUUUUCGGGUUCGGGUACCCGAUUUUUUCGGGUAGGGUACCCGAACCCGACCCGAUUCCCAGCCCUA
Molecule: long non-coding RNA, 395 nt
Filed under: Salvia miltiorrhiza (redroot sage)
Lineage: Eukaryota; Viridiplantae; Streptophyta; Magnoliopsida; Lamiales; Lamiaceae
Description: long non-coding RNA (SMIL_LNC011363)
Source: RNAcentral